GUUCCAGUCUUCAAAUAAAACUGACAAGGUGGUUCCCCUACACGUUCUGGGUACUCCCCGGUAGCUCUUACAGCUGCCUCAACCGCAGCGCGAUUGCGAGGGUGAUUAUAGCGGCACCUACCACCAUAUCCACAAAACCCUGUUCGCAUAUAAUACACACAGUCGGGCGCGCCGGGCCGCUCCGGAUAUAAUUCACUGCUGGCUAGCCCCAAUCGCCACAUCGAUUCUUCUAACCCGGUUUCGCCUCUCACGGGGCUCCAUUCGGGUUGUUGACCCGAUUGCGACCCAUUCCUUGCGUGGUUCCGGCCGUAGAGCUCCAUCGAAACGGGGUUUCUUUUGAGGGAGAGGAUUCUGUACACUUUACAGGAAACAAAGAAGGAAACGUUUCUACGGAAACUGUUACAGAAUGUUCUAGAAGGAUCAGAAGAGCUGGAUCGAGUGAAGACAAUACACUAGUCUAAGCGAUGAAGCGAUUUGAUUUUGUAGAUGUUUCAAACAGUAAUGGAGAGCCUGUGCUUUCUCUCUCCAACCCCUUCUCUUUCUCUCUCUCUCUCUCUCAAG
RNAcentral lists this unclassified non-coding RNA (561 nucleotides) under Hevea brasiliensis (rubber tree). The record is from RNAcentral. Lineage: Eukaryota; Viridiplantae; Streptophyta; Magnoliopsida; Malpighiales; Euphorbiaceae.